UUUCAGUGUUUUACGACCCCUACCAAUGUGUACAUUUGUGGUUUAAGUGAAUCUUUGUUUCUGAAAUUACUUUUGUGGCAAAGAGCACGAUGGCAUGGAAAGAGUAUACAAGAGUAAUCGGGGUGAUCUAAUGCUUAGGAGUUCUACAGUACUUCGACUUGGGAAGAUUCAACAAUACCCUCAGAGAGAGAGGCAUUAUCUAAGUUUCAUCACAAGAUUCAGACGUGGAUAAAUUUCAACAUGGAAGGAAAAGUGAGGCGCUAACUUAUUUUGACCCAGGUACAGCUUAUUUGAAGCAAAGAAAAACCCCAACAAGGGAACUACUGAAACAACACCAUGAACACUCCUAGAUUUCACCUGUUUUUAAUAAGGAUAAUGAAUUGUUGCAAUUCCUGCUUGAGCUUUGAAAGAUCAAGAGCAGCGUUAUCAACAUGGCCUUGAGAACACAAGUCAUCCACCAGUAUUGAAGGCCAUCUCAGUGCUGGGGAGGGCCGCCAGCUGUAUCUACUGGCAUUAGGGAGGAUCAAGGGCAGGAUUGACAAAUUCUACAUGGUUGUGGAUAAGCACCUCAUCCUUUGCACAGGAACCAGCUCCUUGAGUGCUACAGAUGAACUCUUCAAAGUCCACUAUGUGUUCAACCUGUCGUAUGAUCCUGACCAACAAUAACAAGUGGGUAUCUUUCUUUUCUGCAUUAUGGAAACUUUUUUUGCAACCAGCUUCCUUUCCCACGGUAGGUAUAUCUCUAGGCUCCUCCUACAUUUGCAUUAACUUUGCACAACAGUACUGUGUUACUUUGGCAUGGUAUAAUAUGCAGCUCACAUCGUGCUUGGAAGAUUUCCACAAGAGCAUCUGUGAACAUGGCAAAACUCAAUCCAUGGGCCAAGAUGAUCUUCAUCUUCCUUAACAUUAUUAUUGCGAUCUCUGGGAUUGUUGUUUUCACCUUGGGUCUGUUCCUGAAACAAGAGCAUGAUCUUAUCGAACAUACAGUAAAAAUUUGCUUUGCAACUGGUUCUGCAAUGUGCCUUGCCGCUGUCUUUGGAGUUUAUGGUGCUUACAAAGAGAACAUAUCUGCACUGUCUGGGUUUGUCUUCCUGAAGACUCUGGGAAUUGGUGGCCUGAUUCGUAUUGCCUUUAUAAUAUCAGUCCCUCACUUGAAGAUUUUCGAAGACCACAUCAACAAGAGAUAUCCUUUACAAACUUCAGAAGAUCUGUACAAUAUCAUCAUGAGAGUGCUUUACUGCAUCAUAUUUCUCACUUGUCUGGCGGAUACAAUGUCUGUUGCGAUGAUCAAACAACUCAGAGGUGGUGUAUGUGGAUGAAACUUUUGUUAGAUUUUUUUUAUGCUAGUAUUUCGUACUUUGUAGGGCAGUGUGUCUGUAGGACUGGAGUGGAUUUAUGAUAAAUUGCUUUAUGAUAUAUUUGACAAUGCUUUGAUUUUCUCUUAUGUAAACACACACAAUAUACAUACUGUGUGUGUGUGUGUGUAUAUACAUAUAUAUAUAUAUAUAUAUAUAUAUAUAUAUAUAUAUAUAUAUAUAUACACACACACACAUAUAUAAUCUUCUGUAUAUAAUAUCUAAGCUGCUCUAAGGCGUUGGAAUUUAAAAUGCGCACUUCCUGAUCUUCAGAUGUGCUCAUGAUUCACAAUUUGGUAUGUUUAGUGUUCUGUUGUAUUUCUUAGUUUGUGCUACAAUAAAUCCUGGUCGCAUAACUGAGUGAAGAUGUGGCAAACUUUAUUAUAUAACCAGAAGAUUAAUCUCUCAUCACUGAUUCUAGCUAAUGGUGAAAUUAACAAGAAAUUAUGGAUGAAUUGUCUGUACUUUACCAGAAACAAGAGAGUGUAAGAAUGCACUAUUUUUAUAUAGUGUAUCAUAUGUUGACUACAGUGAUUUAUUUUUUCUAUUUUUUAAGACACAUUCAAGUUAUGCACAAGUCCUCAGUGUAUCCAGAUCUUUAAACCUGUGCAUGUGUUUAACCCUUUCUUGCAAUACACUGGGUGACAGACAUCAAUAGUCAAAAUGUUCUUGAGAUUUUUUUAUGUAGAGGAAAUAUAGGAAACAUAUUGCUGUUCAGCAAGGCAAGCUGUCAUUGACUUCUGUCAGUGCUUUAAAAACAAUGCCCAUUUAUUCUAAAGUUCGCAUAUUUAGAGAAUUGUUGAUGUAUUUUUGUAUGUUUACUUAAGCUUUCUUGAAUAAACUAUAUUGAUCAC
This is a long non-coding RNA of Ictalurus punctatus (channel catfish), 2209 nucleotides long. NCBI's taxonomy places the organism in Eukaryota, Metazoa, Chordata, Actinopteri, Siluriformes, Ictaluridae. The record is from Ensembl.